This 349-nucleotide unclassified non-coding RNA is filed under the name uncultured Chlorophyceae. Its description in RNAcentral is "sequence contains 5.8S rRNA gene, ITS2, 28S rRNA gene". Lineage: Eukaryota; Viridiplantae; Chlorophyta; Chlorophyceae. The record is from RNAcentral.
AACGCAUAUUGCGCUCGAGGCUUCGGCCGAGAGCAUGUCUGCCUCAGCGUCGGGUUAAUAUCACCACCCAACUACACCUUGUGUGUAGUAGUCGGUGGUGGAUCUGGCUGUUCCAGCGAAAGGCGGCAAGCAAUUGCCAGUAGUCCUGCUGGAUCAGCUGAAGUACAGAGGCUAACUAAGGACCCGAAUACAUGGGCCGCAACUGGGUGGGUGGUGGCUAUCCCUUGGGAUGGCUGUCAACAAACGCUUAGUUGUUGGCCUGGGGACUUACUCGUUGGGCCCUCAACCAGGAAUCAACCCUUCUUAUGAUCUCGACCUGAGCUCAGGCAAGAACACCCGCUGAACUUAA